Molecule: ribosomal RNA, 253 nt
Filed under: uncultured bacterium
Lineage: Bacteria
Description: partial 16S ribosomal RNA
Rfam family: Bacterial small subunit ribosomal RNA
Source: RNAcentral
UACGUAGGGUGCAAGCGUUACUCGGAAUUACUGGGCGUAAAGCGUGCGUAGGCGGUUUGUUAAGUCUGUCGUGAAAGCCCCCGGCUCAACCUUGGAGUGUCAUUGGAAACUGGGGGACUUGAGGGCAGGAGAGGAGAGCGGAAUUCCACGUGUAGCGGUGAAAUGCGUAGAGAUGUGGAGGAACACCAGUGGCGAAGGCGGCUCUCUGGCCUGCACCUGACGCUGAGGCGCGAAAGCGUGGGGAGCAAACAGG